This 367-nucleotide ribosomal RNA is filed under the name uncultured bacterium. Its description in RNAcentral is "bacterial SSU rRNA". It matches the Rfam family "Bacterial small subunit ribosomal RNA", at positions 70 to 422 of the family's 1533-position model. The record is from RNAcentral.
AAAGGGGAGUCGGAUCCGAGUAAAGUGGCGCACGGGUGAGUAACACGUGGGUAACCUACCUCUAAGACUGGGAUAACCCGUCGAAAGAUGAGCUAAUACCGAAUAAGACCACAGUUCCGGCGGGGACAGAGGUCAAACGUAGCCUCUAUUUAUAAGCUAUCACUUAGAGACGGGCCUGCGCACCAUUAGCUAGUUGGUAGGGUAACGGCCUACCAAGGCAAAGAUGGUUAGAUGGUCUGAGAGGAUGAUCAUCCACUCUGGACAUGAGACACGGUCCAGACUCCUACGGCAGGCAGCAGUGGGGAAUAUUGUGCAAUGGGCGAAACCCUGACGCAGCAACGCCGCGUGAGUGACGAAGGCCUUCGGG